CUACGGGGGGCAGCAGUGGGGAAUAUUGCACAAUGGGCGCAAGCCUGAUGCAGCAACGCCGCGUGGGGGACGAUGGCCUUCGGGUUGUAAACCUCUUUUAGUAGGGAAGAAGCGCAAGUGACGGUACCUACAGAAAAAGCACCGGCUAACUACGUGCCAGCAGCCGCGGUAAUACGUAGGGUGCAAGCGUUGUCCGGAAUUAUUGGGCGUAAAGAGCUCGUAGGCGGUUUGUCGCGUCUGCUGUGAAAAUCCGAGGCUCAACCUCGGACCUGCAGUGGGUACGGGCAAACUAGAGUGCGGUAGGGGAGAUUGGAAUUCCUGGUGUAGCGGUGGAAUGCGCAGAUAUCAGGAGGAACACCAAUGGCGAAGGCAGAUCUCUGGGCCGUAACUGACGCUGAGGAGCGAAAGCGUGGGGAGCGAACAGGAUUAGAUACCCCAGUAGUC
RNAcentral lists this ribosomal RNA (444 nucleotides) under uncultured bacterium. Its description in RNAcentral is "partial 16S ribosomal RNA". It matches the Rfam family "Bacterial small subunit ribosomal RNA", at positions 339 to 795 of the family's 1533-position model. The record is from RNAcentral.